UACUCAACAAGAGGGAGGUUGUCCGAGUGGUUAAGGAGACAGACUUAAGAUCUGUUGGCGUUCAUCGCCGCGUGGGUUCGAACCCCACACCUCCCAAAUA
This is a non-coding RNA of Meloidogyne enterolobii, 100 nucleotides long. The record is from the annotation of a GenBank genome assembly. Lineage: Eukaryota; Metazoa; Nematoda; Chromadorea; Rhabditida; Meloidogynidae.